RNAcentral lists this long non-coding RNA (298 nucleotides) under Salvia miltiorrhiza (redroot sage). RNAcentral describes it as "long non-coding RNA (SMIL_LNC010147)". Lineage: Eukaryota; Viridiplantae; Streptophyta; Magnoliopsida; Lamiales; Lamiaceae. The record is from RNAcentral.
AUGGGUGAAGUGUUGGAGUUGGUGGGGAGCAAAGGUAGUGGAGUUGGUGGAGUGGGAUGUUUGGUGAGGUGGGGUUGGUGUUGGUGCUGAUACUUUGAGUGUGGUGGGGAAGUUGGUGGAGUGGAGAAGUGGGGAGUAAAGACGUGUACAUCAUUAGCAAAAGAUUGAAAUAAUAACUGUAUUUAAACUCUAAUUGAUUGAAGAGCUUUUGUUUUUGUAAUAUACUAAACGAUUUUCCCCAAGCUGGGAACUAGCCUGUAAUCUGUGAACUGUAAAUAAAUACUGGCUUCGAUUUUCA